UGUUCUGCUCCUAGCAAUGGAUAAAGAACGGGCAGUUCAAGUGAUCUUUAUGCCAAUUCCACUCCUGUCGACGUCUUUCCUCUUCUCGACGAUAAUCUUCUUGUUGGCGCCGAUACCGAUCUUCACGUUGCUGCCAAGUCUCCCGAUGCCUUCUAUGAGUUAUCACAAUGCCAGAUCGGGGAGGCUUUCUUGAGCUGGCUCCUUCCUGAACCAGACCCUUGCCUUUUGUGUCAUCGGUAGUAAUUUGAUGUUGAGGAUCCACCGAUGCACUUCUUUCAGCUGCCUCUGACGUCAAGACCUUGGUUUUUCCCUUAGCAUCCAACAUAUUUGUCGGGAAAGGAUGUUGAUCGAUCUUCAUCGGCUUCUGAGUUUUAGAAUUAUCAAAC
Molecule: long non-coding RNA, 386 nt
Filed under: Sorghum bicolor (sorghum)
Lineage: Eukaryota; Viridiplantae; Streptophyta; Magnoliopsida; Poales; Poaceae
Description: long non-coding RNA (SBIC_LNC005285)
Source: RNAcentral